Nicotiana attenuata is the source of this 100-nucleotide small nuclear RNA. The record is from Rfam. NCBI's taxonomy places the organism in Eukaryota, Viridiplantae, Streptophyta, Magnoliopsida, Solanales, Solanaceae.
GUAAAGCGGGACAUCUUAUAAAAUUGAAAUGAUACAAGAGAAGAUAAGUAUGGCAUGCUUAAGGAUGAUAUGCGCAAAUUGAGAAAUAAUUCUAAAUUGC